CCUACGGGAGGCUGCAGUAGGGAAUAUUGCUCAAUGGGGGAAACCCUGAAGCAGCAACGCCGCGUGGAGGAUGAAGGUUUUCGGAUUGUAAACUCCUUUUGUUAGAGAAGAUAAUGACGGUAUCUAACGAAUAAGCACCGGCUAACUCCGUGCCAGCAGCCGCGGUAAUACGGAGGGUGCAAGCGUUACUCGGAAUUACUGGGCGUAAAGAGCGCGUAGGCGGGAUAGCAAGUCAGAUGUGAAAUGCUAUGGCUUAACCAUAGAACUGCAUUUGAAACUGUUAUUCUAGAGUAUGGGAGAGGUAGGUGGAAUUCUUGGUGUAGGGGUAAAAUGCGUAGAGAUCAAGAGGAAUACUGAUUGCGAAGGCGACCUGCUAGAACAUAACUGACGCUGAUGCGCGAAAGCGUGGGGAGCAAACAGGAUUAGAUACCCUAGUAGUC
Molecule: ribosomal RNA, 440 nt
Filed under: uncultured bacterium
Lineage: Bacteria
Description: partial 16S ribosomal RNA
Rfam family: Bacterial small subunit ribosomal RNA
Source: RNAcentral